Long non-coding RNA from Ornithodoros turicata, 285 nucleotides. RefSeq lists it as uncharacterized. Lineage: Eukaryota; Metazoa; Arthropoda; Arachnida; Ixodida; Argasidae. The transcript has 3 exons. The record is from RefSeq and is a predicted model, not a curated record.
GGUCUCAUGAAGGAGCACGUUGAGAAGAAAUGCUGGAGAGACUCCUUUCCUCCACAGAGGUUACAUCUGUUUACGGCGUGCAAGAUUUUUGCGACGUGCUCAACAUUGUCAACAAGCACCGUUACAUCAUCGGCAAACGCCAGCACUGGUGUUAUCAUACCUACUGAAGUGUUCUUACAUAUUAGCGUGAUACGGCUUCUUUUGAAAGAGUCCGGUAAGUGUUUUUUGUCAAACGCUUCAUUUAUCAUUUUUGUGAAUGGUUUCGAAAUUAAGUUCCAAAAUCGU